This 2469-nucleotide ribosomal RNA is filed under the name Salmonella enterica. Its description in RNAcentral is "partial 23S ribosomal RNA". It matches the Rfam family "Bacterial large subunit ribosomal RNA". Lineage: Bacteria; Pseudomonadati; Pseudomonadota; Gammaproteobacteria; Enterobacterales; Enterobacteriaceae. The record is from RNAcentral.
CCACCACUAAGCCAGUGGUGAACUCCACAUACGCAUCCUUUGCUGAGGAUACGGUUAACGGAGCGAAAGCGACGUUCAACCGCAAAAGAAGCAGAGGGGGCUUAGUGGUGGGGUGACUGCGUACCUUUUGUAUAAUGGGUCAGCGACUUAUAUUCUGUAGCAAGGUUAACCGAAUAGGGGAGCCGGAGGGAAACCGAGUCUUAAUUGGGCGUUAAGUUGCAGGGUAUAGACCCGAAACCCGGUGAUCUAGCCAUGGGCAGGUUGAAGGUUGGGUAACACUAACUGGAGGACCGAACCGACUAAUGUUGAAAAAUUAGCGGAUGACCUGUGGCUGGGGGUGAAAGGCCAAUCAAACCGGGAGAUAGCUGGUUCUCCCCGAAAGCUAUUUAGGUAGCGCCUCGUGAAUUCAUCUCCGGGGGUAGAGCACUGUUUCGGCUAGGGGGCCAUCCCGGCUUACCAACCCGAUGCAAACUGCGAAUACCGGAGAAUGUUAUCACGGGAGACACACGGCGGGUGCUAACGUCCGUCGUGAAGAGGGAAACAACCCAGACCGCCAGCUAAGGUCCCAAAGUCAUGGUUAAGUGGGAAACGAUGUGGGAAGGCCCAGACAGCCAGGAUGUUGGCUUAGAAGCAGCCAUCAUUUAAAGAAAGCGUAAUAGCUCACUGGUCGAGUCGGCCUGCGCGGAAGAUGUAACGGGGCUAAACCAUGCACCGAAGCUGCGGCAGCGACGCUGAUGCGUUGUUGGGUAGGGGAGCGUUCUGUAAGCCUGUGAAGGUGGCCUGUGAGGGUUGCUGGAGGUAUCAGAAGUGCGAAUGCUGACAUAAGUAACGAUAAAGCGGGUGAAAAGCCCGCUCGCCGGAAGACCAAGGGUUCCUGUCCAACGUUAAUCGGGGCAGGGUGAGUCGACCCCUAAGGCGAGGCCGAAAGGCGUAGUCGAUGGGAAACGGGUUAAUAUUCCCGUACUUGGUGUUACUGCGAAGGGGGGACGGAGAAGGCUAUGUUGGCCGGGCGACGGUUGUCCCGGUUUAAGCGUGUAGGUGUGUGUUCCAGGUAAAUCCGGUUCACUUUAACACUGAGGCGUGAUGACGAGGCACUACGGUGCUGAAGCAACAAAUGCCCUGCUUCCAGGAAAAGCCUCUAAGCAUCAGGUAACAUCAAAUCGUACCCCAAACCGACACAGGUGGUCAGGUAGAGAAUACCAAGGCGCUUGAGAGAACUCGGGUGAAGGAACUAGGCAAAAUGGUGCCGUAACUUCGGGAGAAGGCACGCUGACACGUAGGUGAAGUGAUUUACUCAUGGAGCUGAAGUCAGUCGAAGAUACCAGCUGGCUGCAACUGUUUAUUAAAAACACAGCACUGUGCAAACACGAAAGUGGACGUAUACGGUGUGACGCCUGCCCGGUGCCGGAAGGUUAAUUGAUGGGGUCAGCGCAAGCGAAGCUCCUGAUCGAAGCCCCGGUAAACGGCGGCCGUAACUAUAACGGUCCUAAGGUAGCGAAAUUCCUUGUCGGGUAAGUUCCGACCUGCACGAAUGGCGUAAUGAUGGCCAGGCUGUCUCCACCCGAGACUCAGUGAAAUUGAACUCGCUGUGAAGAUGCAGUGUACCCGCGGCAAGACGGAAAGACCCCGUGAACCUUUACUAUAGCUUGACACUGAACAUUGAGCCUUGAUGUGUAGGAUAGGUGGGAGGCUUUGAAGUGUGGACGCCAGUCUGCAUGGAGCCGGCCUUGAAAUACCACCCUUUAAUGUUUGAUGUUCUAACGUGGACCCGUGAUCCGGGUUGCGGACAGUGUCUGGUGGGUAGUUUGACUGGGGCGGUCUCCUCCUAAAGAGUAACGGAGGAGCACGAAGGUUGGCUAAUCCUGGUCGGACAUCAGGAGGUUAGUGCAAUGGCAUAAGCCAGCUUGACUGCGAGCGUGACGGCGCGAGCAGGUGCGAAAGCAGGUCAUAGUGAUCCGGUGGUUCUGAAUGGAAGGGCCAUCGCUCAACGGAUAAAAGGUACUCCGGGGAUAACAGGCUGAUACCGCCCAAGAGUUCAUAUCGACGGCGGUGUUUGGCACCUCGAUGUCGGCUCAUCACAUCCUGGGGCUGAAGUAGGUCCCAAGGGUAUGGCUGUUCGCCAUUUAAAGUGGUACGCGAGCUGGGUUUAGAACGUCGUGAGACAGUUCGGUCCCUAUCUGCCGUGGGCGCUGGAGAACUGAGGGGGGCUGCUCCUAGUACGAGAGGACCGGAGUGGACGCAUCACUGGUGUUCGGGUUGUCAUGCCAAUGGCACUGCCCGGUAGCUAAAUGCGGAAGAGAUAAGUGCUGAAAGCAUCUAAGCACGAAACUUGCCCCGAGAUGAGUUCUCCCUGAGACUUAGAGUCUCCUGAAGGAACGUUGAAGACGACGACGUUGAUAGGCCGGGUGUGUAAGCGCAGCGAUGCGUUGAGCUAACCGGUACUAAUGAACCGUGAGGCUUAACCUUACA